Molecule: unclassified non-coding RNA, 152 nt
Organism: Callithrix jacchus (white-tufted-ear marmoset)
Lineage: Eukaryota; Metazoa; Chordata; Mammalia; Primates; Cebidae
Rfam family: Metazoan signal recognition particle RNA
About the family: The signal recognition particle (SRP) is a universally conserved ribonucleoprotein. It is involved in the co-translational targeting of proteins to membranes.
Source: Ensembl
GCCGGGUGUGGUGGCUGGCACCUGUAAUCCCAGCUACUGGGAGGCUGAGGCAGGAGAAUCACUUGAACGCAGGAGUUGGAGGUUGUAGUGAGCCGAACCAAGAUCAUGUCACUGCACUCCAGCCUGGGUGACAGAGUGAGACUGUGUCUCAA